UACGAAGGGGGCUAGCGUUGUUCGGAAUUACUGGGCGUAAAGCGCACGUAGGCGGAUAUUUAAGUCAGGGGUGAAAUCCCGGGGCUCAACCCCGGAACUGCCUUUGAUACUAGGUAUCUUGAGUGUGGUAGAGGUGAGUGGAAUUGCGAGUGUAGAGGUGAAAUUCGUAGAUAUUCGCAGGAACACCAGUGGCGAAGGCGGCUCACUGGACCACAACUGACGCUGAGGUGCGAAAGCGUGGGGAGCAAACAGG
This 253-nucleotide ribosomal RNA is filed under the name uncultured bacterium. Its description in RNAcentral is "partial 16S ribosomal RNA". It matches the Rfam family "Bacterial small subunit ribosomal RNA", at positions 524 to 776 of the family's 1533-position model. The record is from RNAcentral.